CGGGUACAACGAGUCGCAAGACCGCGAGGUUUAGCAAAUCUCUUAAAGCCGUUCUCAGUUCGGAUUGUAGGCUGCAACUCGCCUACAUGAAGUCGGAAUCGCUAGUAAUCGCGGAUCAGCAUGCCGCGGUGAAUACGUUCCCGGGCCUUGUACACACCGCCCGUCACACCAUGAGAGUUUGUAACACCCAAAGCCGGUGGGGUAACCUUUUGGAGCCAGCCGUCUAAGGUGGGACAGAUGAUUAGGGUGAAGUCGUAACAAGGUAUC
This 267-nucleotide ribosomal RNA is filed under the name uncultured bacterium. RNAcentral's name for it is "partial 16S ribosomal RNA". It matches the Rfam family "Bacterial small subunit ribosomal RNA", at positions 1234 to 1500 of the family's 1533-position model. The record is from RNAcentral.